Long non-coding RNA from Branchiostoma floridae (Florida lancelet), 2698 nucleotides. RefSeq lists it as uncharacterized. The transcript has 2 exons. The record is from RefSeq and is a predicted model, not a curated record. NCBI's taxonomy places the organism in Eukaryota, Metazoa, Chordata, Leptocardii, Amphioxiformes, Branchiostomatidae.
CGCAUGGAAGCCGAGUCUGGCAAGGCGCCGACUCGGGAAUGUAGUAGACUGCACUAUUGUGUAGCCGAGCAUGUAGGCAUGGAGCCGCAUGGAAACCGGGUCUGGCAAGGCGCCGACUCGGGAAUAUAGUAGGCUGCACUAUUGUGUAGCCGAGAAUGUAGGCAUGGAGCCGUAUGGAAGCCGAGUCUGGUAAGGCGCCGACUCGGGAAUGUAGUAGGCUGCACUGUUGUGUAGCCGAGCAUGUAGGCAUGGACCCGCAUGGAAGCCGAGUCUGGCAAAGCGCCGACUAGGGAAUGUAGUAGGCUGCACUGGUAGGUAUUCAGGCCGCGGACCGCAGUAAUACCGAGAACGUCCUGCGGCUGACUCGGGAAAGUAGCAAGACUACACUGCGCAGCAUGUAGGCAUGGAGCCGCAUGGAAGACGAGUCUGGCUAGGCGCCGACUCGGAAAUGUAGCAAGGCUACACUGCGUAGCAUGUAGGCAAGGGGCCGACUCGGGAAUGUAGCAGAGCUACACGGGUAAGUAUGCAGGCCUGGGGCCAGCUAGGAAGCAGGGAUCGGCACGGGGCUGACUCGGGAAUGCAGUAGGUUACCAUCUAAUACUUAGUAUGCAGGCCUGCGGUCGCAAAGACGCCGAGGCUGGCCAGGGACCGACUCGGUCUGUAGUGGGACCACGCUAAUAGGGUGCAGACCUGGGGACGAAAAGAAGCCGAGAUCGACCCGGGGCCGACUCUGGCUGUACCGGAGCUACACGAGUAACUACUCAGGCCUGACACUACAAGGACUCCGAGAUUGGUCCGGGACCGACUUGGCAGUAUAGCAGGGCUACUCUUUCGAGUAUGCAGGCCUGGGACUACAAGGACGCCGAGAUUGGCCUGCGGAGCCGACACAGGAACAUAUAUAUAUAGCAGGGCUACUCGAGUAAGGAUGCCAGCGGCCGACCUGACGGCAUAGCCGAACUACGCUGACCGUGUGUAGGCCCAACUAAGGACCUCGCCAUCCAACCUGAUGGUCCGGGAAGCGAGCGGGAGCACCCCCUCCAAAUCUUUAAUUGCCAAAUUGCGCACCUUUUGUUACCGUGGUCCGUAGUGACCGAUCUGCAGUCCACGGUGAUAAUUAUUUUCUGAAAGGUUAAUGGCAGUUCCUAUGCGACACGUUUAUAAGAGUAUAUACACACAGUUAAAAGUUGGACAUGAUGGGUGAAUGGGAGGGGGACAGCUCCCGCUCCGUCCGGACCAUGGCACGUGACGCUCAGGCGAACCAUCUGGAUUGGUGCAGUCGGAUGUCAACAGGGGGCAUAGGUCUCCUCAGAUGUUACAAAACGACAGUUUUCUUACGCAGUAGGUUACUUUGGUACGAGAAAGAUUGUACAUCCUGUAUGCUGAGCGUUGAGCAUUAUGACUCGCUGAAGUCGUCCCUGACUGCAUGUAGCAUUCAAUAUUGGUAAUGGGAGUCUGUUGCCACGGUUAGUAGUGUACGGUGACGUGCUCCUCUCUAAAGACUGUUAUAUGAGAACAUUUGAAGAAUAGAGACACAUUUAAGUAAUCGAAACGACGACGAAGGAAGGAGAAGGAAAGGGAAAAGACAAGGACCAACCCUAGCACCGCCGUUGUCUGCCCGAUCUGUGAAAAACAUACACAUCGGCAUUUGGAUUGCGAGAACACCUGCGGCGCCAUUGAAGUCAUCAUCAAUGAUGGACAUCUGACAAUUAAAAAGGAAGUCAUCGAUAAUGGGCAAGCUUAAUUAUGGUCCGGGGUAAGGAAAGGUGAUCAGUGCUGCUGAACGUUUUCCAGAAAACUGUUUCAUUGGGAAAAGUCCCGAAAAUUUUUACCAAUACGAACCCACGAGAGAGAAAAUUGGGGAAAGCUAAAAUACCUUAUGGCUGUACGUAGACUUCGAUGGGACGCGGGGUGAGAUAGAAGCGUGGCCAUAGUAAGGGAGCAUUUUCUUAAAAAAAUUGUAUUAACUAUUGCAUACCUCUGACAAACAGGUAGGAACAGUUUAAGUUUGAAUAUGUUAAGUUAUAUGAACCAGUAGAGCAUGGUCGAAGUAUAUAUAAGGACUUUGAUGGAGGUACCUCAGCUUAGACUUUUAGGGAAGUUGGAAGUUUAUGGAGUCAGUGGCAGGCUACUUAUGUGAUCGCAUAACGUCUUAUUAUUAGAUAAAGGGACACAUGGUGUAGGAAUUAUAUAAAUGGCACACAUGUCUCCAUGGUGUAGAGUGAAUGAAUAGAGGAUUUCCUCAAGGUGCCAGUCUGGGGCUAACUUUAUCAUUUGUGUACAUUACCAGAGGUAGUCAAAGGUACAGUGAAGAUAUUUUUCAGAUGAUAGUCGCUAUAAACAUGAAUCGUUCUGUGUACCCUGCUAAGGAGCAUUUCAGCUAGACAUCAAUGCAGUUGGGAAAUUGGUUGAAAGUAGGCAGCUACCAUUUAAUGUAAUGAGUAAUUUGAGAAUGACAAUCAGAGGGCCAAAUACGGGCUCGGAGGUCAAGAACGGAACACGUUGAUUGACCCAAUCAAGCUUUAGCGGUAAAUGAUCAACUUAAGCUUCAUGAAAACAAUCCAGUAGCCGGAAGAUACCAGAAUGUAUGUACAUAUAUUUCUGUAUUCACAAGUUGUAAAAUCAGUGAUAUUCAGUUUGUUUUUAUACUGACUGCGAUGCUGAUUGCUUUUCUGAAUAAACGAAGAAGGCCAACCAGAUA